CCUACGGGCGGCAGCAGUGAGGAAUAUUGGUCAAUGGACGAGAGUCUGAACCAGCCAAGUAGCGUGAAGGAUGACUGCCCUAUGGGUUGUAAACUUCUUUUAUAUGGGAAUAAAAUGUUCCACGUGUGGGAUUUUGUAUGUACCAUAUGAAUAAGGAUCGGCUAACUCCGUGCCAGCAGCCGCGGUAAUACGGAGGAACCGAGCGUUAUCCGGAUUUAGUGGGUUUAAAGGGAGCGUAGGUGGAUUGUUAAGUCAGUUGUGAAAGUUUGCGGCUCAACCGUAAAAUUGCAGUUGAAACUGGCAGUCUUGAGUACAGUAGAGGUGGGCGGAAUUCGUGGUGUAGCGGUGAAAUGCUUAGAUAUCACGAUGAACUCCGAUUGCGAAGGCAACUCACUGGACUGCAACUGACACUGAGGCUCGAAAGUGUGGGUAUCAAACAGGAUUAGAUACCCGGGUAGUC
This 460-nucleotide ribosomal RNA is filed under the name uncultured bacterium. RNAcentral's name for it is "partial 16S ribosomal RNA". It matches the Rfam family "Bacterial small subunit ribosomal RNA", at positions 338 to 795 of the family's 1533-position model. The record is from RNAcentral.